GACGAACGCUGGCGGCGUGCUUAACACAUGCAAGUCGAGCGGUAAGGCCCUUUCGGGGGUACACGAGCGGCGAACGGGUGAGUAACACGUGGGUGACCUGCCCUCAGCUCUGGGAUAAGCCUGGGAAACCGGGUCUAAUACUGGAUAUGACUCCAUGACGCAUGUUGUGGGGUGGAAAGCCUUGUGCGGCUGAGGAUGGGCCCGCGGCCUAUCAGCUUGUUGGUGGGGUGAGGCCCUACCAAGGCGACGACGGGUAGCCGGCCUGAGAGGCGACCGGCCACACUGGGACUGAGACACGGCCCAGACUCCUACGGGAGGCAGCAGUGGGGAAUCUUGCGCAAUGGGCGAAAGCCUGACGCAGCGACGCCGCGUGAGGGAUGACGGCCUGGUUGUAA
Molecule: ribosomal RNA, 395 nt
Filed under: uncultured bacterium
Lineage: Bacteria
Description: bacterial SSU rRNA
Rfam family: Bacterial small subunit ribosomal RNA
Source: RNAcentral